Small nucleolar RNA from Rhincodon typus (whale shark), 186 nucleotides. RefSeq annotates it as small nucleolar RNA SNORA53. NCBI's taxonomy places the organism in Eukaryota, Metazoa, Chordata, Chondrichthyes, Orectolobiformes, Rhincodontidae. The record is from RefSeq and is a predicted model, not a curated record. The transcript has a single exon.
UUCACUGUGGUCUUGGAUUCUGCAAUGUGCUGGCAGCUUACAUUCAUCAACUUUAAAGGCUGCACUGUCAAAGGUACUUGAGUCAUUGGUGUGUAGGAGUAAUAUCCCUGCAUUGUAGCCCAUCUGUUCUGAUGUCAAUGACCAGGCUGUUGUGUACCAUCAAAACUUUGCUGCUGUAUGGAUGUG